UGAAAGCUGUGAAGAUUCCCUUCACCAGUCAACUCUUCUACCAAUGGAGAAAAGGACCUUUCAAGCCUGAUCAGUUCAGCUACCUCUGUCUUGUCUGUCCUAACCUGAGAACGUGGGUCUUCAGUUUUGUUAGCUGAAUAAGGAAAGUCUUCUCUGCAGUAGUCAAAGUAACUGAAACUCUUUCUUAGUUUUGGAUACAACCAACUGCAUCAAGACAGACUGCUUAAAGACAAAAGUUUAUCAACUCCAACGGUUCUUUUGCAACGACUAUUUUCUAGUGGUAUAUAUACUAGAAGAUUCAGCUACAACAAACAUACAAUUAUCA
This 325-nucleotide long non-coding RNA is filed under the name Trifolium pratense (red clover). Its description in RNAcentral is "long non-coding RNA (TPRA_LNC010877)". Lineage: Eukaryota; Viridiplantae; Streptophyta; Magnoliopsida; Fabales; Fabaceae. The record is from RNAcentral.